AGAAAGAAAGAAAGAAAGAAAGAAAGAAAGAAAGAGAAAGAAAGGGUUCAACGUGACCCUCAGGUUCACAUGUGUGACAGAUACCCAAAUGUCACAAUACUGGAGAGAAUCUGUGUAUUGGGGAUAUUGGGGAGGUGGCUCAGGGUUGAUCCUGGGCCCUGGUUAAGGAGCAGAGACAUGAUGGAGCCCAUUUCAAGCAUGGAGGAUGGGGAGCCACAGCCUCCCAUCUUUACUUGGUAAAUGCUGCUACUAAGAGAAAACGGGAAGUCUGUGGAAGGGACUUGUUUGUAGAUGAAACCCUCAAUCUGACCAGGAAGAGUCAUGUUUUCUGCCCAUGUUUUCUUUACCUGGAGUCCUGGGCACCUUCCCUGUGUGGGGGGCCCUUGUGGUUCCUCUGCUGUCUAGCACAGAGGUGGGAAUCUCCUCCUCAGUGACUCCUCGGUGGUCCCAGACUACAGUGGUGACUCAACUUUGGUCUGUGUACUCUGAAUGCAGAUCUUUCUCCACCUUGAAAAUCUUCAUCUCUCUCUUUCUACUCCUGUCUGUGAUAAUCUGUGUAUUCAGCAAUAUUAAAUGUACCAUUUCUUAGUGCUCAGGGUAGAUGAGGAUCCUCGAGUGGGAUCAUCAAUUGUCCAACACCCUGAUUUUCUCAAAUUACAACCCUACGUCUUACUCAGUCCUGGGACUUAACCAUCACUGAGCUCCUUUGAAGUCCCAGUCACCACCGACCCCCACGACCCCUCUGAUGAGUGGGGUGUGUAACAACUUGCUCCACACAAGGAAACUGAGGCUCAGAGAAGGGAGUAUGAAGGCUCAGGGUCACAUAGGCAGCAGAUAAUGAGCAAUCAUUAAGGAAAAAUCAGCUCCCCAUCCCAACAGGUGAGUUCCUCUCAGGUAACAAAGGACACCGAAGACUCAGGAGUGGAUCACAAGUCUGUUUCCAAGAAGACGAAGAUGGACACUGCUACUAAGAGAAAAGGAAAGUCCAUGGAGGGCGCUGGUUGGUAGAGAACACUGGCAACAUUGGAUACAGGUCAUGUUCUCCGCCCAUAUUUCCUGUGUUUCUCCAUUGCGCCCACUGAACUACACAGCCAGAUGUCAGAUGUGUCUCUGCUGACCUGAGUCUGCCCUGCAGCAUGGACCUGCAUCUUCCCUGAAGCAUCUCCAUGGUGGAUGAGAUGACUGGCCAUGGUAAGGACCCCACAACCCUGUGUUGACAGACAGGAUGAAGGAGUGAAGGAGACCCCAUGUGGAGGCUCUGAGAGGGGAGGAGAAGCCCUCAGUUACCCUCACCUGGAAAAGGCUCACUCAGGGAGACCCUGGGCCUGUUUUCUACUGCAUUCCAGCCCUCAAUCAGAUGAGGACAGAUCCUGCAGCCAGUAGCCAAGGAUCAGGGGGCGCCCCCUUCCGUCUGAAAUGUGUUCAGGGAACCUGGGGCUCACUCCCACCUCAGCCCUGGUGAAAUGAGGGCCAGGUUUCUGCAGUUCCCCUUCCUGUGGGACUGCUGAUGGGACAACCCCGUGACAGGGAGAACCCAGCCUCUGAGUGUGUCUGUCUGUCCUCCUGGACACCGUGGUUUCAUCCAUCUGGGCAGCUGGGGCCAGUAGGAGGAGAAGCCAUGACCCCACCCUCACAGACCUACCCUGACUUGGGCUGAGUCUGAGCCCCAGGACCCACGUGCAGGCAGGCUCCUCCCUAAACCCACCACCUGGGCUGAGCCAGACUGUGUGAUCACCGGGAGGAGACCUGUGACCACCUGGUGUCAGGGUACCCUGGAGGCCCAAGAGUACCAGCUGGAUAAAGAGGGAAGCUCAGUGUCAUGGAACAUUAAGGAAACCACUGGGGUCUGGGAACAAGACCAGGGCCCGUAUCUCACACAGGCCGGAGCACAGUGCAGAGAAGCAUUGCUGUUAUUAUCAAAGUGCCACAGGCCGGUCAGGGCACAGUGACCCCCUGGAGCUGGUGGUGACAGGGAUGUCCCAUAAAGGGGCAGAAGCGCUGAAGCUCUCGACCUCUGGGCGGCCCUGCAUAUUGCACUGAAGCUCUCGACCUCUGGGCGGCCCUGCAUAUCGUGUAGAAUCAUCUGCAAAUCAGGCUUGAGUCUUCACUUUCUCUGUCAACUGAUCACAGAGAAAUCCCCAUGAAAUUACAGGUGCAGGCUGGAAGGCAGAAGUUGUGGAGCAGGGGCAGGAACCAUGGGUCUUUGGCCCCCUGCAUUGUGUAAAUUACUCACACUUUCAGGGCCUGAGUGGACAUGAUCUUACUAUACAGCUUGCAUCAGCUAACACACACUUCACAUUUCACGGUACCUUGGUGACCUACGCCCAAGCAUCCAGUGUCUCCUAAGCCUCAAUAAUGGAGAAAAAUAUACUUUCUUUUUUAAAUUUUCUUUUAUUUUCUUUUUCUUUCUUUUCUUUUCUUUUUUUUUUUUUU
Rhinopithecus roxellana (golden snub-nosed monkey) is the source of this 2433-nucleotide long non-coding RNA. RefSeq lists it as uncharacterized. The record is from RefSeq and is a predicted model, not a curated record. The transcript has 4 exons. NCBI's taxonomy places the organism in Eukaryota, Metazoa, Chordata, Mammalia, Primates, Cercopithecidae.